This 597-nucleotide ribosomal RNA is filed under the name Triticum aestivum (bread wheat). RNAcentral's name for it is "partial small subunit ribosomal RNA". The record is from RNAcentral. Lineage: Eukaryota; Viridiplantae; Streptophyta; Magnoliopsida; Poales; Poaceae.
AUGGAGCAGAACCCAGAGUUCGCCGCUCUCGGCGCUCUUGGGCUCGCCGGCAUCUGCCGCGAGGCCCUCCGCGUCGCCCGCUCCCAUCCAGCAGGCUCCGCCUUCUUGGCCGGUCAGGUGGUCGUACUCACCCUGUCCUUGCUCGCCCACAUCGCCGUCUCCCGCGCCCUCCUCCGACGCCCUCGCCUCCUCCUCCCACGCUGGCGCCAGCCUCCUCCGUCUCGACACGAACUGGGCUCUCUUCUUCCUCGUAGAGGCCGCCUGCCUCCUCGCCAUCGUGGCCCAGUCGCUCUGCGCCGCCGCCUUCUGCGUCUUCUGCGUCGCCCCGCGCUACGGCGUCACCGACGACCGCGACAAGCGCACGAUCGCCCGCGACUACCGCACCGUCCCCUGGUUCUUGGCCAGGUUCCUCUGGUCCGUCUUCGGAGGCGACUCCCGCAGCGCCACGCGCCUCAUCCGGACGGCCCGCAAGGUCGCCUGGCGCCUCGCGGUCACAACCUUCCACGCCUUCCUCCUCCUCCUCGGCUACACCGCACUCCUCGGCGCCGCCGCAUGGUUGGCGCACCACCACCUUCUCGCCCCCGCUACCCCGGUUGA